GUAGUAUUCCCUCCGUCUGAAAAUAUUUGUCAAAAAUAUUAAUAAAAAUAGAUAUAUUUAAAAUUAAAAUAUGUCUAGAUACAUCCAUUUCUUCGACGAGUAUUUCCGGACGGAGUGAGUACUGC
Molecule: non-coding RNA, 125 nt
Organism: Triticum aestivum (bread wheat)
Lineage: Eukaryota; Viridiplantae; Streptophyta; Magnoliopsida; Poales; Poaceae
Source: Rfam